GUGAAGAACGCAGCAAAAUGCGAUAAGUAAUGUGAAUUGCAGAAUUCAGUGAAUCAUCGAAUCUUUGAACGCACAUUGCGCCCGCCAGUAUUCUGGCGGGCAUGCCUGUUCGAGCGUCAUUUCAACCCUCAAGCACAGCUUGGUGUUGGGACUCGCGUUAAUUCGCGUUCCCCAAAUUGAUUGGCGGUCACGUCGAGCUUCCAUAGCGUAGUAGUAAAACCCUCGUUACUGGUAAUCGUCGCGGCCACGCCGUUAAACCCCAACUUCUGAAUGUUGACCUCGGAUCAGGUAGGAAUACCCGCUGAACUUAAGCAUAUCAAUAAGCGGAGGA
RNAcentral lists this unclassified non-coding RNA (331 nucleotides) under soil metagenome. Its description in RNAcentral is "partial contains 5.8S ribosomal RNA, internal transcribed spacer 2, and large subunit ribosomal RNA". The stretch from base 2 to 119 matches the Rfam family "5.8S ribosomal RNA", at positions 37 to 154 of the family's 154-position model. The record is from RNAcentral.